GCCAGGGUGGCGGAAACCGGUAACGCGCCAGAAUUUUAGGCGAAACUCGAGAUCUGGUUGCCGCAAGGCAAUUUGGGUUCAAAUCCCAACCCUGGCG
This 97-nucleotide transfer RNA is filed under the name Candidatus Mancarchaeum acidiphilum. Its description in RNAcentral is "Candidatus Micrarchaeota archaeon Mia14 tRNA". It matches the Rfam family "tRNA". Rfam says of the family: Transfer RNA (tRNA) molecules are approximately 80 nucleotides in length. Their secondary structure includes four short double-helical elements and three loops (D, anti-codon, and T loops). Lineage: Archaea; Nanobdellati; Microcaldota. The record is from Rfam by way of RNAcentral.